Molecule: small RNA, 32 nt
Filed under: Bombyx mori (domestic silkworm)
Lineage: Eukaryota; Metazoa; Arthropoda; Insecta; Lepidoptera; Bombycidae
Description: ovarian small RNA-10094
Source: RNAcentral
AAAGUCGACGAUACGGCCUCAGCUCGCGCCGU